UCUACGGGAGGCAGCAGUAGGGAAUCUUCCACAAUGGGCGAAAGCCUGAUGGAGCAACGCCGCGUGGGUGAAGAAGGUCUUCGGAUCGUAAAACCCUGUUGUUAGAGAAGAAAGUGCGUGAGAGUAACUGUUCACGUUUCGACGGUAUCUAACCAGAAAGCCACGGCUAACUACGUGCCAGCAGCCGCGGUAAUACGGAGGUGGCAAGCGUUAUCCGUAUUUAGUGGGCGUAAAGGGAACGCAGGCGGUCUUUUAAGUCUGAUGUGAAAGCCUUCGGCUUAACCGGAGUAGUGCAUUGGAGACUGGGGGACGUGAGUGCAGAAGAGGAGAGAGGAACUCCAGGUGUAGCGGUGAAAUGCGUAGAUAUAUGGAAGAACACCAGUGGCGAAGGCGGCUCUCUGGUCUGUAACUGACGCUGAGGUUCGAAAGAGUGGGUAGCAAACAGGAUUAGAUACCCGAGUAGUC
This 465-nucleotide ribosomal RNA is filed under the name uncultured bacterium. RNAcentral's name for it is "partial 16S ribosomal RNA". It matches the Rfam family "Bacterial small subunit ribosomal RNA", at positions 338 to 795 of the family's 1533-position model. The record is from RNAcentral.